Molecule: long non-coding RNA, 1140 nt
Filed under: Marmota monax (woodchuck)
Lineage: Eukaryota; Metazoa; Chordata; Mammalia; Rodentia; Sciuridae
Source: RNAcentral
AUCAAACUCAGGGGCGCUUAAUCACUGAGCCACAUCCCCAGCCUUUAUUUUUCAUUUUGAGACAGGGUCUCACUAAGUUGCUUAGGACCUCACUAAGUUGCUGAGGCUGGCUUUGAACUUGCAAUCCUCCUGCUUCAGCCUCCUGAGCCACUGAUAUUAUACAGUGUACCACUGUACCCAGAUGAAUUCACCUUUUUUCAGCAAUUCUUUCUUUGGAAUUUAAAACACAAGAGAGAAAAAAUAACUAUCAUGCUCAUGUUAACAUGUCUAAAUAAUAUUUCAAGCAUUAGACUUCCAUAAUUGUGUUUUUAUAAUAUAUAUGAACAUACAAAGUCCAAACCUGAUUCACUGACUCAUCACCAGUGCCUUAUUUCAGGCUUACCUUGGUCUCCUCCAUUCUCUCUGGUUUUAAUGUCCCCUCAAAAACUCAUGUGGAAAUUUAGUUGCCAUUUAAUGGUAUUGUAGAGGUAGGACCUUUAAGAAAUGAUUUGGUUAUGAGGGGUCUGUCCUUUUAAAAAAAUAUAUUUACUUCUUACUUAUAGGUGGACACAAUACCUUUUUUUACUCUGUGUGGUGCUGAGGAUCAAACCCAGUACCUCAUCCAUGCUAGGCAAGUGCUCUACCUCUGAGCCACAACCCCAACCCAGGCUCUGUCCUUAUAAAUGAAGAAAUGCCAUUACCACAGCAGUGUGUUUAUGAUCUCAGAAGUGGGUUCCCACUUAAAGGAUGAAUUCAGCCCAACUUCCUCUCUUGUCUUCUGUGUACUCACCUGCCCUUUCAUUGUGUUAUGGCACAGCAUGAAGAUGCUAACCAGAUGCCAGCACUAUAGUCUUGACCUUCUCAGCCCUUUGAACCAGCAGCCAAAUAAACUUGUAUUUUUUUGUGAAUUUCCCAGUCAGUAGUGUCAUUCUAGCAGCAAAAAACAGACAAGGAGGUGCCUAGGAUAAAGCAUCAGAAGUGGUACAGAAGUUCUAUGCCCUCAUCGGGCAUACCAUGGUGCAGCACUCUCUUGUGUUCUUCAAUCUGGAAGCUCUCUGAACCCCACCAUUCAGAUUUUUUACAGUUUCCAGUGUGUAGGCAUGAUAGCCUCAAAAUUUCUUGAUAUUGCAAGGGGUCUGAAACACUAUGCCAGGAAAUAAG